GGCUCAGAUUGAACGCUGGCGGCAGGCCUAACACAUGCAAGUCGAACGGUAACAGGAAGAAGCUUGCUUCUUUGCUGACGAGUGGCGGACGGGUGAGUAAUGUCUGGGAAACUGCCUGAUGGAGGGGGAUAACUACUGGAAACGGUAGCUAAUACCGCAUAACGUCGCAAGACCAAAGAGGGGGACCUUCGGGCCUCUUGCCAUCGGAUGUGCCCAGAUGGGAUUAGCUAGUAGGUGGGGUAACGGCUCACCUAGGCGACGAUCCCUAGCUGGUCUGAGAGGAUGACCAGCCACACUGGAACUGAGACACGGUCCAGACUCCUACGGGAGGCAGCAGUGGGGAAUAUUGCACAAUGGGCGCAAGCCUGAUGCAGCCAUGCCGCCGUGUAUGAAGAAGGCCUUCGGGUUGUAAAGUACUUUCAGCGGGGAGGAAGGGAGUAAAGUUAAUACCUUUGCUCAUUGACGUUACCCGCAGAAGAAGCACCGGCUAACUCCGUGCCAGCCGCAGC
Molecule: ribosomal RNA, 509 nt
Filed under: uncultured bacterium
Lineage: Bacteria
Description: bacterial SSU rRNA
Rfam family: Bacterial small subunit ribosomal RNA
Source: RNAcentral